Molecule: non-coding RNA, 69 nt
Organism: Podarcis lilfordi (Lilford's wall lizard)
Lineage: Eukaryota; Metazoa; Chordata; Lepidosauria; Squamata; Lacertidae
Source: the annotation of a GenBank genome assembly
GCUGUAGCUCAGUGGUAGAGUAUCUGCUUUGCGUACAGAUGGUCCCUGGCUCAAUCCCCAGCAUCUCCA